RNAcentral lists this unclassified non-coding RNA (334 nucleotides) under Hevea brasiliensis (rubber tree). The record is from RNAcentral. Lineage: Eukaryota; Viridiplantae; Streptophyta; Magnoliopsida; Malpighiales; Euphorbiaceae.
AAAAAAAAGGCGGAUAUUAUACUUAUUUACAAAGAAAAAUUACUCCAGGUGAAUCCCAUUUCUACAGAAGCCCGACUCUAAUCGACAAACCAGCUUAUCACCCAAAUCACGUACCCUCCUCUGGGGGAUAGUGUGAAGAUCCAACCAGGUUUUAAUCAGAUAUCACUGAAGUGAUGGCUUUUUUUCUUUUUAUAUUGUUAAUGGAAGAAAGUUCAAUAUAGCCAUAGACGGGGAAAAAUAAACAAAUACCACAUAGAGCAAAAGCGCGAGAUUAUCAGCACAAAACCCUAAAACCCUAAAAAAACCCCUAAUAAAGCCCCAAUUAGCACUUCUG